UACGUAGGUGGCAAGCGUUGUUCGGAAUUAUUGGGCGUAAAGGGCGCGUAGGCGGUUUGUUAAGUCGGUCGUGAAAGCCCGGGGCUCAACCCCGGAGGGUCGACCGAUACUGGCAGGCUAGAGUACAGAAGAGGUAACUGGAAUUCCCGGUGUAGCGGUGAAAUGCGUAGAUAUCAGGAGGAACACCGGUGGCGAAGGCGGGUCUCUGGGCCGAUACUGACGCUGAGGAGCGAAAGCGUGGGGAGCGAACAGG
RNAcentral lists this ribosomal RNA (253 nucleotides) under uncultured bacterium. RNAcentral describes it as "partial 16S ribosomal RNA". It matches the Rfam family "Bacterial small subunit ribosomal RNA", at positions 524 to 776 of the family's 1533-position model. The record is from RNAcentral.